This is a small nucleolar RNA of Anguilla rostrata (American eel), 207 nucleotides long. RefSeq annotates it as small nucleolar RNA U3. The transcript has a single exon. The record is from RefSeq and is a predicted model, not a curated record. Lineage: Eukaryota; Metazoa; Chordata; Actinopteri; Anguilliformes; Anguillidae.
AUGUUUAUUACAACCAUUAAAGAUACAUUAUAACUGAGAAAUGCGUUUUGAAAGUGUUUGGUCUCGCUACCCACAAUGACGAGAUAAUGCAUUCCCUUCUGAGCGUGAAGCGAAUAGAAAGUGUUGAUUUGAUCAAUUGCUUUUUAUUAUUGAUGACCGUUCCGAUUCUGAAAAGAAUAAGGAGGUAGGGGAUGCGUUCUGAGUGGU